UUUGCCGCAAUGGGCGAAAGCCUGACGGAGCAACGCCGCGUGAGGGACGAAGGCCUCUGGGCUGUAAACCUCUUUUAUCAAGGAAGAAGAUCUGACGGUACUUGAGGAAUAAGCCACGGCUAAUUCCGUGCCAGCAGCCGCGGUAAUACGGGAGUGGCAAGCGUUAUCCGGAAUUAUUGGGCGUAAAGCGUCCGCAGGCGGCCCUUCAAGUCUGCUGUUAAAACGUGGAGCUUAACUCCAUCAUGGCAGUGGAAACUGAAAGGCUUGAGUGUGGUAGGGGCAGAGGGAAUUCCCGGUGUAGCGGUGAAAUGCGUAGAUAUCGGGAAGAACACCAGUGGCGAAGGCGCUCUGCUGGGCCAUUACUGACGCUCAUGGACGAAAGCCAGGGGAGCGAAAGGGAUUAGAUACCCCUGUAGUCCUGGCCGUAAACGAUGAACACUAGGUGUCGGGGGAAUCGACCCCUUCGGUGUCGUAGCCAACGCGUUAAGUGUUCCGCCUGGGGAGUACGCACGCAAGUGUGAAACUCAAAGGAUUUGAC
RNAcentral lists this ribosomal RNA (538 nucleotides) under uncultured cyanobacterium. RNAcentral describes it as "bacterial SSU rRNA". It matches the Rfam family "Bacterial small subunit ribosomal RNA", at positions 362 to 914 of the family's 1533-position model. The record is from RNAcentral. Lineage: Bacteria; Bacillati; Cyanobacteriota.